RNAcentral lists this unclassified non-coding RNA (532 nucleotides) under Hevea brasiliensis (rubber tree). The record is from RNAcentral. Lineage: Eukaryota; Viridiplantae; Streptophyta; Magnoliopsida; Malpighiales; Euphorbiaceae.
CCUUACGUUACUGUCGUCGUCCCUCAAGCCACUGUGGCUCGCACGCGUGUGAUUAAGAAUGCCAAAAACCCCAAGUGGAAGCAGCGGUUUUAUAUUCCUCUGGCUCAUCCGGUAAUUGACCUCGAAUUUCAUGUUAAGGAUAAUGACCUUUUUGGAGCGGAGGUUAUGGGAACAGUCAAAAUCCCGGCUGAAGAACUCGUCACCGGCAAGUUAAUAAAAGGUUGGUUCUCUAUAAUUGGCUCCUCCGCGAAGCCGGACUCUGCACUACUUCUGGAAAUGGAGUUUACGCCGUGUGAGAAGAAUCCGUUGUACCGCCACGGCAUCGCUGGCGAUCCUAAACAUCGAGGAGUGAUGAAUACGUACUUCCCUUUAAGAAAAGGAAGUAAAGUGACAAUGUAUCAAGAUGCUCAUGUGCAUGAAGGGACGUUGCCUGAGAUCGAAAUUGAUGACGGAAAGGUUUAUAAGCAAGAAAAGUGUUGGGAGGACAUUUGCACUGCCAUAUUAGAGGCUCACCAUAUGAUUUACAUUGUGG